RNAcentral lists this microRNA precursor (201 nucleotides) under Oryza rufipogon (brownbeard rice). RNAcentral describes it as "MIR812 microRNA precursor family". It matches the Rfam family "MIR812 microRNA precursor family". Lineage: Eukaryota; Viridiplantae; Streptophyta; Magnoliopsida; Poales; Poaceae. The record is from Rfam by way of RNAcentral.
CCCAAGUGCAAUUUUGUACGGUUUAUAUAUACAAAGUUUGACAGUUCGUCUUAUUUAAAAAAAAUAUAAUAUUUUUAUUGUUAUUAGAUGAUAAAAUAUGAAUAAUAUUUUAUGUGUAACUAUUUUUUUAUUUUUUUAUAAAUUUUUUAAAUAAGAUAGAAGGUCAAAUAUUGAACACAUAUAUCCACGGCUGUACUUAUU